GACCCGCAAGGGAGCGUGCACAGAUGCUGCAUGGCUGUCGUCAGCUCGUGCCGUGAGGUGUUGGGUUAAGUCCCGCAACGAGCGCAACCCUCGCUGCCAGUUACCAUGUCUGGCGGGACCGCCGGGUCCAACCCGGAGGAAGGUGGGGAUGACGUCAAGUCAGCACGGCUCUUACGUCUAGGGCUACACACACGCUACAAUGGCCGGUACAACGCGCUGCGAUGGGGCGACCCGGAGCGAAUCCCAUCAAAGCCGGUCUCAGUUGGGAUUGCAGGCUGCAACUCGCCUGCAUGAACGCGGAGUUGCUAGUAACCGCAGGUCAGCACACUGCGGU
This 334-nucleotide ribosomal RNA is filed under the name uncultured bacterium. Its description in RNAcentral is "bacterial SSU rRNA". It matches the Rfam family "Bacterial small subunit ribosomal RNA", at positions 1014 to 1363 of the family's 1533-position model. The record is from RNAcentral.